CUACCUGGAAAAUUAAUAAAGUGGCUGUUUAACUUUUUGUUUGGUUGUAAAAUGUACAUUAUAUGUUAAGUAUAAUAAUAUUUUACAUGGCCCAAAAAAUGCAUACAAAGGUCUAAUGCAAUGUGCCUCCUUGUCACCAAUAUUAUACAAUUUAUAUACAUACUUCACAAAUUCUCCAUCAUCAUUUACGUGAAGAUUUUAAAAUAUUACAGUUUGCUGAUGAUGUUUAAUAUAUUGUGUGAAUAGUAAUGUAAAGAUUGCUCAUGCAUUAAUUUAGCUUUAGAUAAGCUUAAUUCUAAUACAAAAAAACAAAAGAUUAAAUAAUUGCAUGUCAGCGGGGUAUAGAAUGUAGUAUGCUAAAUAUUAGAAAGAUACAAAAAAUAAGGCACACCAAAGUUAGAAAUAUAACCAAGGCAAGAGAUGGAUUAGAACACGCUCAGUCACUUAAAUGGAGGUGGGCUGGACAUGUGGCUACGUGACAAGAGAUGGACAAAAACGGUAACCACUUGGGCGGGUCCACAGGGAAAGAGGGGUAGACCUGUGGCUAGCUGGGAAGACGAAAGAGAGGUAGACCUGUGGUUAGCUGGGAAGACGAAAGAGAGGUAGACCUGUGGCUAGCUGGGAAGACGAAAGAGAGGUAGACCUGUGGCUAGCUGGGAAGACGAAAGAAAGCAGCUGGUCUCAACUGGAUCCAAGUGGCCCAGUCGAGAGAGGACUGGCUGUCCUUGGAGAAGGCCUUCCCCAUAGAGGAGUUCUUACAGAAAAAUAAAAGUUUAGAAGUAGGAAAAACUAACACUAAAUUUAGGAUACAAAUUUAAUUACUAACAAAACUAACACUAGUAUGUAAGUAAACUUAAUCAAUGUAACUUGUUCUGCUGUAAGAAUUAAAAGGCUUUUUUUAUA
Molecule: long non-coding RNA, 903 nt
Organism: Pieris rapae (cabbage white)
Lineage: Eukaryota; Metazoa; Arthropoda; Insecta; Lepidoptera; Pieridae
Exons: 2
Source: RefSeq, a predicted model, not a curated record